GACUCUAGUCUGGCGCUGUGAAGAGACAUGAGAGGUGUAGAAUAAGUGGGAGGCCGGGCGCGCGCUCGGCGCGGCGGGGCGACCCGCCCGCCGGCGUCCCGGCCGCCGGUGAAAUACCACUACUCUGAUCGUUUUUUCACUUACCCGGUGAGGCGGGGGGGCGAGCCCCGAGGGGGGCUCUCGCUUCUGGCGCCAAGCGCCCGGCGCGCAGCCGGGCGCGACCCGCUCCGGGGAC
RNAcentral lists this non-coding RNA (235 nucleotides) under Pygoscelis adeliae (Adelie penguin). Its description in RNAcentral is "Eukaryotic large subunit ribosomal RNA". It matches the Rfam family "Eukaryotic large subunit ribosomal RNA", at positions 2424 to 2603 of the family's 3401-position model. The record is from Rfam by way of RNAcentral. Lineage: Eukaryota; Metazoa; Chordata; Aves; Sphenisciformes; Spheniscidae.